This 362-nucleotide long non-coding RNA is filed under the name Elaeis guineensis (African oil palm). RNAcentral's name for it is "long non-coding RNA (EGUI_LNC007606)". Lineage: Eukaryota; Viridiplantae; Streptophyta; Magnoliopsida; Arecales; Arecaceae. The record is from RNAcentral.
ACCCCCAUACCCUGUGGCAUGUCUGCUAUCUCAUAGAUGGACAAAUAUAGGAGUUGAGCCAGACCGCUCGAUCCCACCUUCAUCAUGAAUUGUGUCCACUUUGACCAAAGAUCGACUCGGAGAAGUCUCCUGCGAUAAUAGAAACUUCACUUUGUGACAUCAUCUCUCGUCCUCUCGAGUCUCUCAUCCAGUGCUGCCCGAUCUACCUCUACUUGAAGCUCCACCUCGCUCUAGACUCUUCCUGACUCCUAAAGCUCCACCUCGCAUAAAGGCUUCCCACUAGGUAGUAAUAUCCUCUUAUCCUUUUUUUUCUUCAAAAUAAUCAUAUUGCCAUAUAACACCUUCAGGAUUCCUCCACCAGC